GGCUAAUUCGGAUGGCCCGGUUCCUUUCGGGGCUGCGUGCUGUCUCUGAGUUUGCCAUCCUUUCAGAGAGCUGCGCCUACCGCUUCUGCGGCCGGGCGCUGUGAUCUGAAUCUUUUACUUUGAAAAAAUUAGAGUGUUCCAAGCAGGCUUACGCUUUGAAUACAUUAGCAUGGAAUAAUAAUAUAGGACUUCGGACCUAUUUUGUUGGUUUCUAGGACUGAAGUA
RNAcentral lists this ribosomal RNA (225 nucleotides) under uncultured fungus. RNAcentral describes it as "partial small subunit ribosomal RNA". The stretch from base 100 to 225 matches the Rfam family "Eukaryotic small subunit ribosomal RNA", at positions 737 to 864 of the family's 1831-position model. The record is from RNAcentral. Lineage: Eukaryota; Fungi.